ACUGUUGUGUGUCUUUCCCUUUUGCUUUUCACCAUCUGCUUGAAAGCCCCUGCAGAAGAUGCCUCGGUUUCAAACAGCAGUAGGUUCAAAGGCACAGCUCCAGAUAUCUGAGCUAAAGGGAGACUGAGUAUCACGUCUGGGAAAGAGCUGAGGAGGUAUGAAGCCAGUUCCUAACCUGCCAGGCACCACAGCAGACUGUCGUAGCCAACUGAAGGCUGAAUAAUGGAGAAUAGCAAGCCUCAGGAAGCAUCAAGAAAAUUCAUACAACAAGCAAUAAGAAAGCCCUCAGAUCCAGCCUGAUAAGACAUUUCUUGUUCCUACUCUCAUACGUUUGCACUGUGACAGACUUCUCAGGAGGUGGUCCAGACCUUUAGGGCAACCAAAGAAGCUACAAAUUUCCUGCUCCUUUUGUACUUAUACCUGAAGCAAAAUCUUCCACUUGAAAAACAGUUUUUUUCCAUUUAGUGUUUCCAGGCUGCUGUCCAAGAUUACUAAAUUAGCAUUGCUGUCUGCCAUAUGAAUUAAGCUGUUGUAUGAUUAUCUUCACUCAUCUACAUGCCAGGGUCACACUGAGCAAUGUAUAUCUAUAUUGGAGCAAAUUGGGAUCUUUUUAAAAAGGCUGUGUUUCCUUGUUACCACAAACCUACUACUUGUCAUCAGUUCAUCUCACAUACGUCACCAGAAGCAGAAAAGGAGCAAUGCUUGAAGGCAGAAGCAGACAUAACUGUCAUGCCUGGGAGGUUGAUCUUUCUUUCUGUUGCUGACAAAACCUCUUUUCUCCUCCUGCUUAUGACAAAAAAUGAACUCGGCAGACAAGACAAAAACAUCCCUUCGGAAGCAGCUAUUAUGACUUGAUUAUGCUAGGUCUCUAGGGUUAUUAAUACUUGCUGGCUGUACUUGCCAUUAGCUUCCAUCAAGAUUUAACAAUGCUUUUUGAAACAGAACUGCAAACACUUCUCACAUCCAAAUUAACACCUGAUUAUAUUCAGUCUGUUGAGGAUGGAAUGAAUAAAGAAAGCUCACUCUUUCAAUUCCUCUUUCAAGUUCAGGACUAAUAAACGUGGUUUUAUAAACAAUAACUGUGAUACAGUCAAUAUUCAAGGUUGUGGUGCCUCCUAGGAUUGUGCAUUUAUUUAUUAUCUGCAGUAGUUCUAUCAAGUUGCUUACCUUACAAGUUCUUCAAUUUCAUCCUAGAUGUCAAUUUAACCAGAAUUUGACACUGAAUUAAAAUCUUACCUUACAUUUAGGGAAGCCACUAUGUAGUGGACAGUACAUUAAACUACUCCAAACUAGCCUUUUGCAGUGCUCCUACAAUGAACAUUGAAAGAGCCUUUGUGCCAAACACCUGCCGCAGAUCAUCAGCAAGAUAUAUUUUUUUGAAGAUUCAAACUGCUUUUAUAAAACAUCUAUUUCAUCCUACGGUGGAUAUAUAAAUGUAGGUGAGAUGAAGCGCCUUUUGGAGAUGCCUAUUACUGCUCUUGACUACAUAAAGAGACUAAGGUGACUCACUUAAUUUCAGAAACCUUUUCCAAUUAUGUACUGCCUGAUCUUCUACUAACACAAAAUGGUCUACUAUGUUUAAUCUGUGUUGGUGGGUUGAUCAAAGACUAAAAAAGGAGAAGUACUGA
This is a non-coding RNA of Coturnix japonica (Japanese quail), 1628 nucleotides long. The record is from RefSeq and is a predicted model, not a curated record. Lineage: Eukaryota; Metazoa; Chordata; Aves; Galliformes; Phasianidae.